UACGUAGGGUGCAAGCGUUGUCCGGAAUUAUUGGGCGUAAAGAGCUCGUAGGCGGUUUGUCGCGUCUGCUGUGAAAACCCGAGGCUCAACCUCGGGCCUGCAGUGGGUACGGGCAGACUAGAGUGCGGUAGGGGGGAUUGGAAUUCCUGGUGUAGCGGUGGAAUGCGCAGAUAUCAGGAGGAACACCAAUGGCGAAGGCAGAUCUCUGGGCCGUAACUGACGCUGAGGAGCGAAAGCAUGGGGAGCGAACAGG
This 253-nucleotide ribosomal RNA is filed under the name uncultured bacterium. RNAcentral's name for it is "partial 16S ribosomal RNA". It matches the Rfam family "Bacterial small subunit ribosomal RNA", at positions 524 to 776 of the family's 1533-position model. The record is from RNAcentral.